RNAcentral lists this ribosomal RNA (253 nucleotides) under uncultured bacterium. RNAcentral's name for it is "partial 16S ribosomal RNA". It matches the Rfam family "Bacterial small subunit ribosomal RNA", at positions 524 to 776 of the family's 1533-position model. The record is from RNAcentral.
UACGUAGGCAGCAAGCGUUGUCCGGAAUUAUUGGGCGUAAAGAGCUCGUAGGCGGCUUGUUGCGUCUGCCGUGAAAAUUCACAGCUUAACUGUGGACGUGCGGUGGAUACGGGCAGGCUAGAGUUCGGUAGGGGAGACUGGAAUUCCUGGUGUAGCGGUGAAAUGCGCAGAUAUCAGGAGGAACACCGGUGGCGAAGGCGGGUCUCUGGGCCGAUACUGACGCUGAGGAGCGAAAGCGUGGGGAGCGAACAGG